GAUGAACGCUGGCGGCGUGCCUAAUACAUGCAAGUCGAGCGAACAGACGAGGAGCUUGCUCCUCUGACGUUAGCGGCGGACGGGUGAGUAACACGUGGAUAACCUACCUAUAAGACUGGGAUAACUUCGGGAAACCGGAUCUAAUACCGUAUAAUAUAUUGAACCGCAUGGUUCAAUAGUGAAAGACGGUUUUGCUGUCACUUAUAGAUGGAUCCGCGCCGCAUUAGCUAGUUGGUAAGGUAACGGCUUACCAAGGCAACGAUGCGUAGCCGACCUGAGAGGGUGAUCGGCCACACUGGAACUGAGACACGGUCCAGACUCCUACGGGAGGCAGCAGUAGGGAAUCUUCCGCAAUGGGCGAAAGCCUGACGGAGAAACGCCGCGUGAGUGAUGAAGGUCUUCGGAUCGUAAAACUCUGUUAUUAGGGAAGAACAAAUGUGUAAGUAACUAUGCACGUCUUGACGGUACCUAAUCAGAAAGCCACGGCUAACUACGUG
Molecule: ribosomal RNA, 497 nt
Filed under: uncultured bacterium
Lineage: Bacteria
Description: partial 16S ribosomal RNA
Rfam family: Bacterial small subunit ribosomal RNA
Source: RNAcentral